Cucurbita moschata (crookneck pumpkin) is the source of this 804-nucleotide long non-coding RNA. RefSeq lists it as uncharacterized. The record is from RefSeq and is a predicted model, not a curated record. Lineage: Eukaryota; Viridiplantae; Streptophyta; Magnoliopsida; Cucurbitales; Cucurbitaceae. The transcript is spliced from 2 exons.
GAAUGGAGCCUAUCACCAGAGGCACAGCCCCAUUUGCAAUUCCAUCAUAAUUUCUCCAACUCCUAACCCUAGCAGAGAUCUCUGAAUUCGUCCAGAGUCCGACCGACUAUCCAUCAUUGCAGCAUAAUCUUCUUCAUCCCAACGCAAGAGCCCCAAAGAAGCCGCUCUCCGGGAAGGACAUCAAUGCACGAUUCCAACUGCGAUCUUCUUCAAACUUCCGAUCCUCGCUCCUCCUUAAGGAAGCGAGAUCAUAAAAAAUUAGCUGAGAAGUGGAUUCAUUCGAUUCAUUUGAUUCUGCUCCUUAUCCAGUGAGUUCAGAGAUCAAGGACGGAAGGAAUUAGAGCAGUUCAUUCAAGCGAGUUUCUGAAGGCGCCGAAGCACAACGACAAUGUCGAACUUGCCGUCUUCGGAUUCCGGCAUGGUUCGAGUCCUCGGAAUCUAACCAGCAGCGGCGCUCGAGACUCACGGAUACCGACCAAGGUCAAUUGGGCCGGUCCAUUGAAAUGUAUUGGGCUACGAGAGCCAGGCCCAUCCCAGCCCAGCCCAGCCCAAAAAGUAAGUACCCAUAAUCCAUUUAAGAGAGUAGUAGUCUAUUUUGUGAUUUACACAUGAGGCAUGUGAUUCCAUCGCCCUUUCUUUCACUGUUUAGAAACCUUUACCUCAAACAACCAAUGCCACGUCAUCGCCGGGACCAAUAUCAGGCCAAAAUUAAACGCAACCAAUUUUUUUAUUAUUAAAAAAUAUUUGAAUCUAGGCUUGAUGAAGAGGAACCUUAGGGUUAGUGUAGUAAUCAUAACACAUUUU